Molecule: long non-coding RNA, 341 nt
Filed under: Panax ginseng (ginseng)
Lineage: Eukaryota; Viridiplantae; Streptophyta; Magnoliopsida; Apiales; Araliaceae
Description: long non-coding RNA (PGIN_LNC004166)
Source: RNAcentral
CUUUUGAUUUUCAAAUAAUAUAACUGACAUGAGUUAUAUAUGUAUUUAUGUUAUAUAUUAAUAGGUAUUAUAAGUAUACGUAUAUUAUAUUAUCAUAUAUCAGUUUAUAUUACGUAUUAGUAAAAGAGAAAGGAAGAACAGAGAAACAGAAGAAGAGAGAAAAGAGAGAAGGAAGAAGAGAGUUUCCUUGUGAGUUGAGAAUUUAGAAGAAGGGGAGAGAUUUUCAAGUUCUUCACAUCUUAUAGCAAAUGUAUAACCCUACUUUUCUUAUUUUUAGUUUUCUUCUAAAGUUCUAGUUUUUAUAUACAUGAAAAGUUCUCUGUAAAAUUGGUGUGAGGGAG